CCUUUGAGGAAAAUCCCAGUUCUUCUUUUUCCUUCUUGCCCUCUCGAUCUCACUUCUGCAUAUGCUUCACAUUAGACAAAUUUCCCACUGCCUGCCCAUGGGAAAUCUCUCUCCAGAUUUAUACAUUUAUUGAUAGAGCGGGUCAACUGGAAAUUUAAUCUAAUAUAUAUUUAAAUGGGAAUAAUAAGAAUGAAAAUCUUUAUUUCUAUAUAUAUUUCUAUAUACAUCUAUAUAUAUCUAUAUAUCGUAUCCCAGCCAUGCUGAUUUAUUUUGAGAUUUCUUCUACUGCACAUAAAAAAGUGAGUAUUAGAUAAAAUUGAAUCAGCAUAAUAACUUAAUAUUUCUGCUCAUCUGCUGCCUAAUUCUAAUCUACAGCACACCCGCUGCAAUUAUAUAAUGGAAAUAUAGGAGAUGACUUGGAUUGCCUGGAUCUAUUUUCAUUUGCUCCCAAGAGGCUAUCUGACAAAUAUUAAUAACCAUUGACUCAGGGAAAUCUACAUAAUCUCACUGAUCCUCAGCGUCCUCCUUUGUAAAAUGGGAUUGGUAACGCCUGCCCUCUAAGGUGGUUGAGACUUGUUGCACAUGAAAUGCUUGGCACAGUGCCCUGCCUGCAACAAAUUGGAGGUGCCAUUCUCUGGACCAGUCAGAGUUUUCUGGAUGCAAUGAUGUACUUCCACUCUGGUUACUUCAAGCAAAGGAGAAAUGAGUUGAACUGAAGCAGGUGACUGAGAGGACAAGAACCGGAGACCACAGGGGCCCUGGGAGGAUAUGUGAUGACACUUUGCGUAUGUGACUCCCGAGAAACCAAGGCAGGAGCUCCAGACUUCUCUCUAUCUGAAUGCACAAAUAGAAGGAGCAGGUUUGAUGAACAGCCGGAAUGCACAUGACACAUGCUAUGUUUUUUCUGCACUUCAGUGAAGGAAAAUCAUAAUUUAAGAAGACUGUACAAAUCCAGCAAUUAGCCAGCACAUUUUUUGUGAGUCAUGUAAGUAUUCAGCAUAUUACUGGGUGCAAAGGAGACACAACCAAAGUAUGAAACACAAUGCUGUAUCUUCCAGGACCACCAUUAUCCAGAUUUGUGGAUCACCCACCCAGCUCUGUGCCAGGCACUGGGCUAUUUCUGGAGAUGCAAAGGCAAAUAAAAUGUGGCUGCUUUUUCUGGAGAAACAUGUAUGGGAUAUAAUAUUUGGAUGUUCUGGCAGAGCUAGAUUUGACAGUAGAGCUCCUAAAAGUUCAGUUUGGAAGAAUAAAGUAAAGGGAGGUGAGAGGAAGAUGGUGAGCAAAAGAAAGCCACUAGCAACUGCCUUCUUUCUUUCUCCUCAGUGGAAUAAAUUGCACUCAAGGAGACACU
Molecule: long non-coding RNA, 1351 nt
Organism: Equus asinus (donkey)
Lineage: Eukaryota; Metazoa; Chordata; Mammalia; Perissodactyla; Equidae
Source: Ensembl